Molecule: ribosomal RNA, 340 nt
Filed under: uncultured bacterium
Lineage: Bacteria
Description: bacterial SSU rRNA
Rfam family: Bacterial small subunit ribosomal RNA
Source: RNAcentral
GAAAUUUGUGCUAAUACCGCAUAAUGCAAUUUGAGUCGCAUGGCUCUGACUGCCAAAGAUUUAUCGCUCUAAGAUGGCCUCGCGUCUGAUUAGCUAGUUGGUGGGGUAACGGCCCACCAAGGCGACGAUCAGUAGCCGGACUGAGAGGUUGACCGGCCACAUUGGGACUGAGAUACGGCCCAGACUCCUACGGGAGGCAGCAGUGGGGAAUAUUGGGCAAUGGGCGCAAGCCUGACCCAGCAACGCCGCGUGAAGGAAGAAGGCUUUCGGGUUGUAAACUUCUUUUGUCAGGGAAGAGUAGAAGACUGUACCUGACGAAUAAGCCACGGCUAACUACGUG